This is a long non-coding RNA of Arabidopsis lyrata subsp. lyrata, 1786 nucleotides long. RefSeq lists it as uncharacterized. The record is from RefSeq and is a predicted model, not a curated record. The transcript has 3 exons. Lineage: Eukaryota; Viridiplantae; Streptophyta; Magnoliopsida; Brassicales; Brassicaceae.
UGUCGUUUCAAUUUCCAAUCCAUCAACUAUAAAGAGCAACGUUUCUGUUUACUUUCUUCAACCUUUCACUAUUGUAUCACUCAAUUUGCUUACAAAAUUUAUAACUAGAAAAAAUCUAGUUGCUCUCAAUCUCACACGCGUUAACCAGAAGGAGAUAUUAGAGUGGCUGGGGCCUGGGAUCUUGGUUCCGGUGAUGCGAUCAUAGUCUUCAACGAUGUUGGCUUGUUCUUCUUCUGACUUGACAGAGAUUAGAGUCUCGAAAAACUUGAGAUUGCUUCAUUAGAGUCUCGAUGAAGUGAAACGUUUCUCAAAAUGGUGAAGACAACCCGAGAUCCACAAUAUUAGCUCUAAUUGAUACAUCAUGCAAAAUCCCAUUAUCAAAUUGCAAGAACAGAAAGGAAUGAUGAGGAAGAUGAAGACUCUGUAAGAAUUAUUUGGGGUCACAGUGUAUUAAUCAAUGUGUUAGGGUCAUUAUUUAAUUAGUCAAGACUUAUGUGGUCACUUUGGUAUAAAGUAAAAGAUAUGGGGCAUAAGUGUUAUGGAAAAUUAAUGUGUGGAUACAUUUAGUAAUUUCUAAUUUGAUGAGGGGCCAAGUUAUAAAAAGAGGGUUAUGGUCCCCAAAGCAACUCUAACCAGAAAUAAAGAAAUUCUCUGCAUUCCCAGAGACCUAAACCUAUUCAGGGUGUGCUUUGGAAGACCUAAUCCCAAAUUCAGAUAUUAAGCUAUGGAUUCAUCAGGUAGAUCGCAUUGAAUUGAGCUUCUUUAGAGCACUGCUAGUAAAAUUGGGCUUUCAGGAGAAAUGAUAGGUUGGGUUAUGGAAUGCGUCUCUUACUAUUUUUUGAUGAACGGGUCGCCUCCUCGGAAAGUUUCCCCCACUAGAGGUCUUCGUCAAGGAGACCCACUCUCUCCAUAUCUCUUCAUCCUUUGUACCGAAGUUCUAUCCGGCCUUUGCUGUAAAGCACAAGAAAACGGUUCUCCCCGGCAUCAAAGUUGCAAAUGGAUCCCCCUUCCCCCAUAAAUCACUUAUUUUUUUGUGGAUGACACAAUGUUCUUUUGCCGCUCGGAUGGAAGGAGGUGUGAGACCCUUGUCUCCAAUUUAAAAAGUUAUGAGCUUGCUUCGGGUCAAAGUAUAAACUUUGGGAAGUCUUCCAUCACCUUCUCUUCAAAAACUCCCCGAGAAUCGAAGGAAAAAAGCAAAAAGACUCUUAAACAUUUUUAAAGAAGGUGGAGUUGGAAAAUACUUAGGCUUGCCCGAACAUUUUGGGAGGAAAAUGGUUAGUAUUACAACAUCUCAAAAGCUAUGGAUUGUUCUAGCCAUAACUGUGUGUGGCUUUUUCCAGUUUAUUUGAGUUAUAAAGAAAGUUGCAAACUACUAAGAAGAAAGAGAAAUCUAUGGCUGGGUAUUUGAAAGAUAUCAAAGGUGUUUGUGAACAACUAGCCUCUAUUGAUAGUUAGAUUAUUGAGAAAAUGAUAAGCUAGGAGGCAUGUGUGGUAGCUCAAAAGGAGAGAGGCUCGUGAAUAAGGAAAGAGAGCAGAGAAGGCACGUGAAACAGAGUUAAAACAGAGCAAGAAGAAACAGAUUUUUUAACCACUUGAGAGUCUAGUGAGUUGUAUAUAAAUAGAUAAAAGAGUAUUGAAGAAGUUAUGCAUGUAUUGAUGUGUGUAACAAACGUAUGGUUUGUUAGAGGAUAGUUAGGAAAUCUCUUGAACAAAUCUCCAUUGUUAGGGCUUGGAAACAUUGUAAUCGUUGAAGGAUAAGGAAUAAAGAAGAGUUUCAUAUCUCAAA